GGAGGGGUGGCAGAGUGGACGAUUGCGGCGGUCUUGAAAACCGCUGACCCGCAAGGGUCCGUGGGUUCGAAUCCCACCCCCUCCGCCA
This 88-nucleotide transfer RNA is filed under the name Coriobacteriia bacterium. Its description in RNAcentral is "tRNA-Ser". It matches the Rfam family "tRNA". From Rfam's summary of the family: Transfer RNA (tRNA) molecules are approximately 80 nucleotides in length. Their secondary structure includes four short double-helical elements and three loops (D, anti-codon, and T loops). The record is from RNAcentral. Lineage: Bacteria; Bacillati; Actinomycetota; Coriobacteriia.